This 128-nucleotide ribosomal RNA is filed under the name uncultured eukaryote. RNAcentral describes it as "partial small subunit ribosomal RNA". It matches the Rfam family "Eukaryotic small subunit ribosomal RNA", at positions 1651 to 1776 of the family's 1831-position model. The record is from RNAcentral.
CCCUGCCUUUUGUACACACCGCCCGUCGCACCUACCGAUUGAAUGGUCCGGUGAAAUCUUUGGACUGUGACUUUGCCUUGUUCAUUCAAGGCGCUGUCAUGGGAAGUUGAUUAAACCUUACCAUUUAG